GAGGAUGGCGGCGUGCUAUACAUGCAGUCGAGCGAAUUGAUGGGAGCUUGCUCCCUGAUAUUAGCGGCGGACGGGUGAGUAACACGUGGGUAACCUGCCUGUAAGAUUGGGAUAACUCCGGGAAACCGGAGCUAAUACCGGAUAACAUGUUGAACCGCAUGGUUCAACAUUGAAAGAUGGCUUUUGCUAUCACUUACAGAUGGACCCGCGGCGCAUUAGCUAGUUGGUGAGGUAACGGCUCACCAAGGCAACGAUGCGUAGCCGACCUGAGAGGGUGAUCGGCCACACUGGGACUGAGACACGGCCCAGACUCCUACGGGAGGCAGCAGUAGGGAAUCUUCCGCAAUGGACGAAAGUCUGACGGAGCAACGCCGCGUGAACGAUGAAGGCCUUCGGGUCGUAAAGUUCUGUUGUUAGGGAAGAACAAGUACCAGAGUAACUGCUGGUACCUUGACGGUACCUAACCAGAAAGCCACGGCUAACUACGUGCCAGCAGCCGCGGUAAUACGUAGGUGGCAAGCGUUGUCCGGAAUUAUUGGGCGUAAAGCGCGCGCAGGUGGUUUCUUAAGUCUGAUGUGAAAGCCCACGGCUCAACCGUGGAGGGUCAUUGGAAACUGGGGAACUUGAGUGCAGAAGAGGAAAGUGGAAUUCCAAGUGUAGCGGUGAAAUGCGUAGAGAUUUGGAGGAACACCAGUGGCGAAGGCGACUUUCUGGUCU
This 717-nucleotide ribosomal RNA is filed under the name bacterium. RNAcentral's name for it is "bacterial SSU rRNA". It matches the Rfam family "Bacterial small subunit ribosomal RNA", at positions 32 to 735 of the family's 1533-position model. The record is from RNAcentral.